GAUGAACGCUAGCUACAGGCUUAACACAUGCAAGUCGAGGGGAAACGACAUCGAAAGCUUGCUUUUGAUGGGCGUCGACCGGCGCACGGGUGAGUAACGCGUAACCAACCUGCCCACCACUUGGGGAUAACCUUGCGAAAGUAAGACUAAUACCCAAUGGCGUCUCUAGAAGACAUCUGAAAGAGAUUAAAGAUUUAUCGGUGAUGGAUGGGGAUGCGUCUGAUUAGCUUGUUGGCGGGGUAACGGCCCACCAAGGCGACGAUCAGUAGGGGUUCUGAGAGGAAGGUCCCCCACAUUGGAACUGAGACACGGUCCAAACUCCGACGGGAGGCAGCAGUGAGGAAUAUUGGUCAAUGGGCGAGAGCCUGAACCAGCCAAGUAGCGUGCAGGAUGACGGCCCUAUGGGUUGUAAACUGCUUUUAUAAGGGAAUAAAGUGAGUCUCGUGAGACUUUUUGCAUGUACCUUAUGAAUAAGGACCGGCUAAUUCCGUGCCAGCCGCCGCGGUAA
RNAcentral lists this ribosomal RNA (508 nucleotides) under uncultured bacterium. RNAcentral's name for it is "partial 16S ribosomal RNA". It matches the Rfam family "Bacterial small subunit ribosomal RNA", at positions 28 to 523 of the family's 1533-position model. The record is from RNAcentral.